RNAcentral lists this ribosomal RNA (915 nucleotides) under uncultured bacterium. Its description in RNAcentral is "partial 16S ribosomal RNA". The record is from RNAcentral.
GCCGUCAAUUCCUUUGAGUUUUAACUUUGCGGCCGUACUCCCCAGGCGGUCGACUUAUCGCGUUAGCUGCGCCACUAAGAUCUCAAGGAUCCCAACGGCUAGUCGACAUCGUUUACGGCGUGGACUACCAGGGUAUCUAAUCCUGUUUGCUCCCCACGCUUUCGCACCUCAGUGUCAGUAUCAGUCCAGGUGGUCGCCUUCGCCACUGGUGUUCCUUCCUAUAUCUACGCAUUUCACCGCUACACAGGAAAUUCCACCACCCUCUACCGUACUCUAGCUCAGUAGUUUUGGAUGCAGUUCCCAGGUUGAGCCCGGGGAUUUCACAUCCAACUUGCUGAACCACCUACGCGCGCUUUACGCCCAGUAAUUCCGAUUAACGCUUGCACCCUUCGUAUUACCGCGGCUGCUGGCACGAAGUUAGCCGGUGCUUAUUCUGUUGGUAACGUCAAAACAGCAAGGUAUUAACUUACUGCCCUUCCUCCCAACUUAAAGUGCUUUACAAUCCGAAGACCUUCUUCACACACGCGGCAUGGCUGGAUCAGGCUUUCGCCCAUUGUCCAAUAUUCCCCACUGCUGCCUCCCGUAGGAGUCUGGACCGUGUCUCAGUUCCAGUGUGACUGAUCAUCCCCUCAGACCAGUUACGGAUCGUCGCCUUGGUAGGCCUUUACCCCACCAACUAGCUAAUCCGACCUAGGCUCAUCUGAUAGCGUGAGGUCCGAAGAUCCCCCACUUUCUCCCUCAGGACGUAUGCGGUAUUAGCGCCCGUUUCCGGACGUUAUCCCCCACUACCAGGCAGAUUCCUAGGCAUUACUCACCCGUCCGCCGCUGAAUCCAGGAGCAAGCUCCCUUCAUCCGCUCGACUUGCAUGUGUUAGGCCUGCCGCCAGCGUUCAAUCUGAGCCAGGAUCAAACCCUC